GACGAACGCUGGCGGCGUGCUUAACACAUGCAAGUCGAACGCUGAAGCUCAGCUUUUGUUGGGUGGAUGAGUGGCGAACGGGUGAGUAACACGUGAGUAACCUGCCUCCUUCUUUGGGAUAACGCCCGGAAACGGGUGCUAAUACUGGAUAUUCACUGGUCUUCGCAUGGGGGUUGGUGGAAAGGGUUUUUCUGGUGGGGGAUGGGCUCGCGGCCUAUCAGCUUGUUGGUGGGGUGAUGGCCUACCAAGGCUUUGACGGGUAGCCGGCCUGAGAGGGUGACCGGUCACAUUGGGACUGAGAUACGGCCCAGGCUCCUACGGGAGGCAGCAGUGGGGAAUAUUGCACAAUGGGCGCAAGCCUGAUGCAGCGACGCCGCGUGAGGGAUGGAGGCCUUCGGGUUGUGAACCUCUUUCACUCAUGGUCAAGCCGCAACAAUGGUUGUGGUGAGGGUAGUGGGUAAAGAAGCGCCGGCUAACUACGUG
RNAcentral lists this ribosomal RNA (483 nucleotides) under uncultured bacterium. RNAcentral's name for it is "partial 16S ribosomal RNA". It matches the Rfam family "Bacterial small subunit ribosomal RNA", at positions 28 to 507 of the family's 1533-position model. The record is from RNAcentral.